Molecule: ribosomal RNA, 497 nt
Filed under: uncultured bacterium
Lineage: Bacteria
Description: partial 16S ribosomal RNA
Rfam family: Bacterial small subunit ribosomal RNA
Source: RNAcentral
GAUGAACGCUGGCGGCGUGCCUAAUACAUGCAAGUCGAGCGAACAGACGAGGAGCUUGCUCCUCUGACGUUAGCGGCGGACGGGUGAGUAACACGUGGAUAACCUACCUAUAAGACUGGGAUAACUUCGGGAAACCGGAGCUAAUACCGGAUAAUAUAUUGAACCGCAUGGUUCAAUAGUGAAAGACGGUUUUGCUGUCACUUAUAGAUGGAUCCGCGCCGCAUUAGCUAGUUGGUAAGGUAACGGCUUACCAAGGCAACGAUGCGUAGCCGACCUGAGAGGGUGAUCGGCCAAAAGGGAACUGAGACACGGUCAAGACGCCUACGGGAGGCAGCAGUAGGGAAUCUUACGCAAUGGGCGAAAGCCUGACGGAGCAACGCCGCGUGAGUGAUGAAGGUCUUCGGAUCGUAAAACUCUGUUAUUAGGGAAGAACAAAUGUGUAAGUAACUAUGCACGUCUUGACGGUACCUAAUCAGAAAGCAACGGCUAACUACGUG